CAGUAGCCACGGUAAUACGAAGGGUGCAAGCGUUACUCGGAAUUACUGGGCGUAAAGCGUGCGUAGGUGGUGGUUUAAGUCCGUUGUGAAAGCCCUGGGCUCAACCUGGGAAUUGCAGUGGAUACUGGAUCACUAGAGUGUGGUAGAGGAUAGUGGAAUUUCCGGUGUAGCAGUGAAAUGCGUAGAGAUCGGAAGGAACAUCUGUGGCGAAGGCGACUAUCUGGGCCAACACUGACACUGAGGCACGAAAGCGUGGGGAGCAAACAGGAUUAGAUACCCGAGUAGUCCCUGUCUCUUAUAC
This 301-nucleotide ribosomal RNA is filed under the name uncultured bacterium. Its description in RNAcentral is "partial 16S ribosomal RNA". It matches the Rfam family "Bacterial small subunit ribosomal RNA", at positions 509 to 807 of the family's 1533-position model. The record is from RNAcentral.